Molecule: ribosomal RNA, 301 nt
Filed under: uncultured bacterium
Lineage: Bacteria
Description: partial 16S ribosomal RNA
Rfam family: Bacterial small subunit ribosomal RNA
Source: RNAcentral
CAGUAGCCGCGGGAAUACGUAGGGUGCAAGCGUUAAUCGGAAUUACUGGGCGUAAAGCGUGCGCAGGCGGUUAUAUAAGUCAGAUGUGAAAUCCCCGGGCUCAACCUGGGAACUGCAUUUGAGACUGUAUGGCUAGAGUGUGUCAGAGGGGGGUAGAAUUCCACGUGUAGCAGUGAAAUGCGUAGAGAUCGGGAGGAACAUCAGUGGCGAAGGCGGCCAUCUGGGACAACACUGACGCUGAGGCACAAAAGCGUGGGGAGCAAACAGGAUUAGAUACCCCAGUAGUCCCUGUCUCUUAUAC